CGACUGGCGACACGCAGAGCGUCAUCACCUCCUUUUUUCUAUCCUCUUCUAUUUCUCCAUCAUAAAAAAAUCCUAAAUAUAGCAUGAUAGGACUGCAAUCUCACUUUGUCUCGUGGAUAGCUGCAAGGACAUAUGGACACAUGAGAGAGGACACUGG
Molecule: long non-coding RNA, 157 nt
Organism: Gavia stellata (red-throated loon)
Lineage: Eukaryota; Metazoa; Chordata; Aves; Gaviiformes; Gaviidae
Exons: 3
Source: RefSeq, a predicted model, not a curated record